Molecule: microRNA, 22 nt
Filed under: Python bivittatus (Burmese python)
Lineage: Eukaryota; Metazoa; Chordata; Lepidosauria; Squamata; Pythonidae
Description: pbv-miR-551a-3p
Gene: pbv-miR-551a-3p
Source: miRBase by way of RNAcentral
GCGACCCACUCUUGGUUUCCAA